This 915-nucleotide ribosomal RNA is filed under the name Acanthocystis costata. Its description in RNAcentral is "partial 18S ribosomal RNA". It matches the Rfam family "Eukaryotic small subunit ribosomal RNA", at positions 1026 to 1594 of the family's 1831-position model. The record is from RNAcentral. Lineage: Eukaryota; Centroplasthelida; Acanthocystida; Acanthocystidae.
CUAACUAUAAACGAUGCCGACUAGGGAUCGGUGGGCGUUAAUAUAAAAUUGUCUUGGGUUAUUUUUUUACUUUUAUUUUUUUAAAAUAAAAGUUCUAAAAUGUCUUUGACAAGAAAUGACCCCAUCGGCACCUCAAUUUGAUACUUCUCAAUGGGAAACCAAAGUUUUUGGGUUCCGGGGGGAGUAUGGUCGCAAGGCUGAAACUUAAAGGAAUUGACGGAAGGGCACCACCAGGAGUGGAGUUUGCGGCUUAAUUUGACUCAACACGGGAAAACUCACCAGGCCCAGACAUGGUAAGGAUUGACAGAUUGAGAGCUCUUUCUUGAUUCCAUGAAAGGUGGCGCAUGGCCGUUCUUAGUUGGUGGAGUGAUUUGUCUGGUUAAUUCCGUUAACGAACGAGACCUUGGCCUGCUAACUAGGGGGGGUUAUCGUUUGGAUAAGUUAGCAGAGUUGGUUUUGCUUUUUUAUCUUCGGAUAGAAGGGUUAAAAUCAACUGUUGUUACUUGUUCAUAUUUUGCGAUAGCACCUAAGAUUUAAAAAAUCUUUCAACCCUUUUUUGGUCUUAAGGGAAGAGGGAAGUUUUCUUUUGGGAUUUAUUUUCCAAUUGGAGGCUUCUCAUCAAAAUCUUUCUUUUUGAUUGAAGAAGGAAAAAUCCUUCUUAGAGGGACUAUCUGCGUUUUUACAACUAGCAGAUGGAAGCUCGAGGCAAUAACAGGUCUGUGAUGCCCUUAGAUGUCCUGGGCUGCACGCGUACUACACUGACGAAUUCAACAAGUGAUUUAAAUUUGAUUGAGCUACUUACUUUGUUUUCCUUCGGGAGGAUGAGGAGAGAGGGCUUUUUCAAAAACCUUGGCAGAAAUGUCUGGGUAAUCUCCUUAAAGUUCGUCGUGCUAGGGAUAGAUGAUUGUAAUUAUU